GAGGAGGUUAUUAAUAAUUUAUCGAAGACAACAAACUUUCAGAAAACUAUGAAAAUGCCGAUCCACGGCCCAUAAUUUAAAGGAUGACUUUUUGUUUUAUUUUUUCAACUUUUUAUAUUUCUUUCUUUUAACAACUCAUGUUAGAUGAUUUAGGUUUCUAAUAGGAGUUAGAACACGGCCCUUGAGGUUGGAGGGCGGAGCCUUCUGGGAGCUCGGGGACGACGAGGACCGCGAGGGC
This 238-nucleotide long non-coding RNA is filed under the name Phoenix dactylifera (date palm). Its description in RNAcentral is "long non-coding RNA (PDAC_LNC008938)". The record is from RNAcentral. Lineage: Eukaryota; Viridiplantae; Streptophyta; Magnoliopsida; Arecales; Arecaceae.